AGUCUGGUUGCUGGCUAUAUUCCA
Molecule: microRNA, 24 nt
Filed under: Mus musculus (house mouse)
Lineage: Eukaryota; Metazoa; Chordata; Mammalia; Rodentia; Muridae
Description: mmu-miR-344d-2-5p
Gene: mmu-miR-344d-2-5p
Source: miRBase by way of RNAcentral